CGAAGCGUUGCCCAAGGGUAGGGCGCCCCGUUUGGGACGGGGAGGAUGCUGGUUCGAGUCCAGCCGCUUCGA
RNAcentral lists this transfer RNA (72 nucleotides) under Minicystis rosea. RNAcentral's name for it is "tRNA-Pro". It matches the Rfam family "tRNA". Rfam says of the family: Transfer RNA (tRNA) molecules are approximately 80 nucleotides in length. Their secondary structure includes four short double-helical elements and three loops (D, anti-codon, and T loops). Lineage: Bacteria; Pseudomonadati; Myxococcota; Polyangiales; Polyangiaceae. The record is from RNAcentral. RNAcentral also lists the same sequence under 1 other name.